Molecule: long non-coding RNA, 615 nt
Organism: Juglans microcarpa x Juglans regia
Lineage: Eukaryota; Viridiplantae; Streptophyta; Magnoliopsida; Fagales; Juglandaceae
Exons: 2
Source: RefSeq, a predicted model, not a curated record
UUAAAAGCUUCGGCCUACUUAAAUAUCAGCCUAGUUUAAACCUCAAACCCGCAUGAAAUCAACCCACUUAACCUAAUACUAUAGUUUCUGAAAUAAUUCAAGUCCAACCAGAUUUAUAAACCAGUCAAGUUACAACUAAGCCCAGCCACAAUAAAACUCAGCCUAGUAGAAAGGUUAUUUUGGGAAAACUGAAGCAAAAGAAAUAAAAAGAAAACAGGUUUACGGGAGAGGGGGCUGUGCGAUGCUCACCGAGAGAGAGCUGAGUGCAACGGCGGCUCUGGGUGGUUGGGAGUGACCGGCGACGUGACUGGGGAUCCCUAUGGUGGUGCGACACCGAGAUAGAGAGAGAGAGAGAGAGAGAGAGAGAGAGAGAGAGAGAGAGAGAGAGUUUAGAGAGAGAACCAACAAGCCAAAAAACACUAGGGAAAGAAGUUAGUGGCCGACGAUGAUGGGCUUACCGGAAGGGAGUGGGUGCGACGGGACUAGGUUGGCCGGCGUUUUCUGUGGUGGUGUGGGAGGUGGUCUGUCGAGGUGACUCUUGGUUGCCGAGAGGGGCUACGGUGGUGCUUGCGGGAGCGAUGGGAGGGAACAACUUGAACCUUCAGGAGAUUGGCU